This is a long non-coding RNA of Zonotrichia leucophrys gambelii, 3483 nucleotides long. RefSeq lists it as uncharacterized. NCBI's taxonomy places the organism in Eukaryota, Metazoa, Chordata, Aves, Passeriformes, Passerellidae. The record is from RefSeq and is a predicted model, not a curated record. The transcript is spliced from 2 exons.
GGAGAGCCUGGAAGGAGCCCUGACUAAGAAGCAGUAACAAGCAGAAGAACAAGUCUGUGCUGUGAAGAACUGCCCCCAAGAAAUAUUGCUGAGAAGUGCCAGAAUUCAAUGCCCCUCAGCAGCUUGCCUGUAUUACCUGUAAGAUGGAAGUGCAAGUGGAGAUUAUGAAUCCCCAACCCCUUUGCAUACACACAGACACAGGAGAAAAAGGCUAAAGAAUUAACUGAUAAGUUCUGACAUUGCAUUUGGAGCUCUGCUGGAUAUUCCUGAGGUCCUGUCCUUAUGGAGAGAGGACUUUGCUGUGCCAGAUAAAUAGGAAGAAAUGCACUUGCAGUGUGACUGGAUCAGCAUCCCUCAGCAGCAAAGACUUUCCCUACACUAUCACCAAACCCAGUUAGCUUAAAAGACAGGAAAACCCAAACCACUCACAACUUCCUCCCUGAUCAGUGCAAAUCAGCCAUGAACUGGAAUCUCUGGAAGUCACUAAACAGCCUGUAACUUGUAUGAGAAACUCUCUAUUUUAAGAGAAUUUCUGCAUCUGUUUCCCCAGCAGACCCUGCCAACUUGCCUUCUGCUUGAAACUUCUGUGAGUAUGGGAAUGUGGAAAUGGAAGAUAACUUUUAAAAACAUGAUCUGAAGGACAGCUAUCUCCAGGUCUUGUGCACCAAAAUGAUCUAGGUAUGAAACUGAAAGAGGACAAACAAAGAAAAGGUUUUCCCUCACAUUCCUAGACUGGGAAUGUGGGAGUGCACAGCUUAUUGCUUCCUGGCACUCACACUCCCAAAUGUGACAAUAAUGCUGCAAGGAUAAUCAGUCCAAUUUAUGUUCCAAGUGUGAAAUGUCCAAAUCCUGCACAACAGGGGGGCUUUCAUCAUUUCAUCUGCGUGCAAUGAAUGCAGAGAAUAAUUAGCAAAAUGAAUGAAAAGGCUUUGGACUCGAUUUUAAUCCACCUCUGUGCAAUGGGAAUAACACCCCAAUUCAUUAGGCAUCAGAUGCACAUUAGUGAAACACAGUGGCAACUUAAUUCAGCUGGGAAGGGCAUCCCCCCAGGGAGAGCUGAAACAAGCCAGCCCAUCAUUUCUCCAUAUGUGGCUAGCUUCAAUUAACCUUCCCAAAGCACAAAUUGGUGCACACCUUGAAGGAAAAUGGAAAAGAACAGCUACUUUAUGGGCCUUCCUGCUGUAUUUCAAGAUGGUUUCCUCAUCCUGAGCAAGUUGGAACAGCAGGAGUGGUGGGAAUUUCGAUGGAAGUUAAUUCAGGCACUGGAACAAUGUAUUUAGGGGACCUCUCCGAUAGUCAGAACAGGAUUUGCAGUAUCUUUAGGGAAUAUUAUUACUAAAUUUCAACUUUCAUUUAUUCCUCUGGAUUGUUCUACUCUUGCCCUUGUCACUUUGGAUCAAGUUCUCCUUUGUGAGCUUGUUUUCUCAUUUAUUAAAGGCCAAGUGGUAUUCUGUUUACUCAAUUUCAUGGGAAAACAGAGUGACAGCUUGCUGUGAGCUUUGGGAAUAAAUGCUGUAUCCUGAAGUCUCAUUUCCUUGCAAACCCUCCUAUUAAAGCAAUAAGUGGGAAGGGUGAGCCAAUUUUCCUUUGCUCUAAACUUUCCCUAAAGGUUUGCUUAGUGUCUUUAGCUUAGAGAGAAUCUAGAAGGAAAACGCUCGUGCGCUCCAAUUUUUGUUUUCUUGGUAAAAUAUCUAGGAACUUGGCAAGUGCAGAGCUGAGGGGAGAAGUUAAUUUAACUGAUAUCCUGCUCAGCUGGGAUCCUCUUGCCUUUUGAGGUCUCAGUUUGCAAUUCCAGCACUGUACAAAUUGGCCAUUACAGAAAUUGCUUAUUAGUUUUCCCAGGGUUUCAAGUUGCACCCCAGACUUCAGAAUUCUCAGGGACACUCUGAGGAAACUGGGAUGUGUGACUCCCAGGGCUGUCCUUGACCCCCUCCUCAGCUCUGAGACAAACCUCCUUCUCUGCCGGGCCCAUGGCAUGCAGAGCUGAGGAUACAGAGUGACUCUUGUCCCAGAAUAGUUCAGGCACCCUAUGGAUGUUCCAGGGAGGGAGAACUGUGCUUGAAUAGCUAUCCUCACUUGUCCUGCUUGUUCCUGAACAAAGGACAUCUGUGACCCAGCAGCAGACACAAUAAAUGGAUGUCACUGCUGAGGGAAAGCUGAGGAAUUUUCCAUGCCACUCACCAAAUCCAGCCCUUGGAGGCUGAGGUUACUCCACUGGAAUCAGUUCAGCCAUAACUAAUGUGAAGGACAACAUGGAAGCAGAGUCUAUAACAAAUCAGUCAGGGCAGAGAUGUCCUCCCUCCAUCUCACUCCUUGCACAGCUCUGUCAUCAGAGAGACCUUCCUGCCCUCCCUCCUCUGAUCCAGAGGGCACACCAGGCACAAAUGGAGAUAUCAGACAUCUCCAGAGCCACUGGCCAGAUCUGGUGCUUGCUGUGAAAGUGAGUCACAACCUUCCUCAUCCUUCCCACAUCUGCAUAAAUCAGUCCUCGGCACAGGCUGCUCCAGGGAAGAGAGCUGAGGGGUAAAUCUCAGGCAAAUGGCAAUGCUUGUGCUCUGGCCCAGUGGCCAGACGUGCAGGGAACGUCCUCCUGGCCUCAGUGAUGACAGGCAUUUCUGACACUUGGCAUUAAUCUUUCUCUGAUUCUGGCCGUGUCACUGCAGCCUCUCCUUACACCUCCUCCAACCUGUCAUGCAGCCCAUGGAUGUGACAAGAGGUGCAAACUGCAGAUGCUCUGGCAAGCUCAGCUUUAAAUAGUUUAAUCCUGGCAAGUUUGUGCUGCUGAGGUUUUACAAAGGUGAAGCCCUUUGAGUGUGGAGGUGAUGAAUGGCUGCUCAGUGUGGCAAGCACUCAGGACAGCAGGGGCUUCUAAAUUCCUCCUCGUUUUCGUAUUUCACACAGAGAGCAAAGCCUUGAAUUCAGUGUGAUGCUUGUGUGGUCUGUUUGUAAACAUGCAGCAAGAGGGGGUGAUUUAGGGGAUAACCAGUCCAUGGACCCCAGAUUUUCUCUUAUGCAGCUGCCAUUCUGUCAGCUCCUGGAGGCACAGCUUGCCUUCCUUCCUUCCCUCCUCCCUGCUGCCCAGGCCCCUCUGCAGUCCCAGGGAAAGGGCUGGAAAUGACUCAAGGACAAGGCAGGCUUCCCCUCUCAGUGUGAAAAGGAAAAGGCCCCUCUGAGACACCAGAAAACCACAAAGAAAGUGGCUCAGUUACCUGUGGGGCAGCAGGAUUCCCAGGCUCUGGAGCUGCAGGGAGGAGAGGGCAGGAUGGGAGCAGAGCAUUGGUUUCUCAGUGUCCUGUGCUCCUUCCAGGGCAGAAAUCUCUGAGAUUUACAGAGAUCCAUGUAGCAUCUUAGAGAUCCUAUUAUUAGCAAGCUCUGUUUAACCUCCCAGAGCAUCCAUCAAGCCAAAGCAUCACAGUAACACUCCCCAGCUGUUAUAUUACAUGGAUAAUUAUAGUCUGCAGAUGCUAAUGCAAGGAACCCAUG